GAUCGAACGCUAGCUACAGGCUUAACACAUGCAAGUCGAGGGGCGAUCGGGAAGAAAGCUUGCUUUCUUUGCCGGCGACCGGCGCACGGGUGAGUAACACGUAUCCAACCUGCCCUUUACUCGGGGAUAGCCUUUCGAAAGAAAGAUUAAUACCCGAUAGCAUAAUGAUUCCGCAUGGUUUCAUUAUUAAAGGAUUCCGGUAAAGGAUGGGGAUGCGUUCCAUUAGGUUGUUGGUGAGGUAACGGCCCACCAAGCCUUCGAUGGAUAGGGGUUCUGAGAGGAAGGUCCCCCACAUUGGAACUGAGACACGGUCCAA
This 316-nucleotide ribosomal RNA is filed under the name uncultured bacterium. Its description in RNAcentral is "bacterial SSU rRNA". It matches the Rfam family "Bacterial small subunit ribosomal RNA", at positions 27 to 334 of the family's 1533-position model. The record is from RNAcentral.